This 418-nucleotide ribosomal RNA is filed under the name uncultured archaeon. RNAcentral's name for it is "bacterial SSU rRNA". It matches the Rfam family "Archaeal small subunit ribosomal RNA", at positions 412 to 828 of the family's 1478-position model. The record is from RNAcentral.
GUGAUGCCUAAAAAGCAUUGCAUAGCAAGGGCCGGGCAAGACCGGUGCCAGCCGCCGCGGUAACACCGGCGGCUCGAGUGGUAACCGUUAUUAUUGGGUCUAAAGGGUCUGUAGCCGGCCGGAUAAGUCUCUUGAGAAAUCCAGCGGCUCAACUGUUGGGCUUUCAGGAGAUACUGUUCGGCUCGAGGCCGGGAGAGGUGAGAGGCACUUCAGGGGUAGGGGUGAAAUCUUGUAAUCCUUGAAGGACCACCAGUGGCGAAGGCGUCUCACCAGAACGGACCUGACGGCAAGGGACGAAAGCUAGGGGCACGAWCCGGAUUAGAUACCCGGGUAGUCCUAGCCGUAAACGAUACUCGCUAGGUGUCGGCCACGGUGCGACCGUUGUCGGUGCCGUAGGGAAGCCGUGAAGCGAGCCACC